Molecule: ribosomal RNA, 392 nt
Filed under: uncultured bacterium
Lineage: Bacteria
Description: bacterial SSU rRNA
Rfam family: Bacterial small subunit ribosomal RNA
Source: RNAcentral
AUUGAACGCUGGCGGAAUGCUUUACACAUGCAAGUCGAGCGGCAGCGCGGGGCAACCUGGCGGCGAGCGGCGAACGGGUGAGUAAUGCAUCGGAACGUACCCCGUCGUGGGGAUAACUACCCGAAAGGGUAGCUAAUACCGCAUACGACCUGAGGGUGAAAGCGGGGACCGAAAGGCCUCGCGCGAUGGGAGCGGCCGAUGCCGGAUUAGCUAGUUGGUAGGGUAAAGGCCUACCAAGGCGACGAUCCGUAGCUGGUCUGAGAGGACGACCAGCCACACUGGAACUGAGACACGGUCCAGACUCCUACGGGAGGCAGCAGUGGGGAAUUUUGGACAAUGGGCGAAAGCCUGAUCCAGCCAUUCCGCGUGAGUGAAGAAGGCCUGGUUGUAAG